UCUGGAACUGGAAGAUUGUAAAGGUAGGAGGGAGGUGGGGGAAACAAGGAGUGCUAAAGAGAAAUGAACUCAGACACAGCAGCUUGCUCUUGUCAAAACAACUUAAUACAACAACCCAAAGAGUUACAUAUGGGAUAUCUGGAAAUAAGCGCCACUACAAUUACCUGAUGAUCUCACUGGAAAAUGAGCUUCCUCCAAAGGGUAAAUGGUAUAUCAAGAUGGAAAGCACAGUCAUUCAUUCAACAAGCAAUUACUAAAUGUCUACUCUGUUCCAGAUAUUGUGCUAGGUGCUGGGAAUACAAAUAGUCCUUGCCCUCAAGAAACUUGCAUUUGAUUGGGGGAAAACAAUGUGGAAACAAAAAGAAAUGUACCUCAAUUAAUGACAGAAUAUUGGAAAAGCUCACUUGAAUCAAUAAAAUUAUAAAAGAAACUAGAUAAAAUACAUAAAAGAUGAAAGGAGAAAAGACAGCUCUAAGACUCUACAAAGAGACUAACUUUCUACCUUGUGAGCCCAGCAGAAAACUGAAUUUAAGGGAAACUUCAUGAGGAAUCAACAAAUGCCUAAAAAGUCUUCUAAUGCCCAGGAAUUGUCCAAAUGGAAACUUACCAGAACCCUGAACUUGAGAGCCUUGGGGAUAGCAAUUCCACUAUUUCCCUCCUCACUCUACACCUGACCGAUCACCUGCCGUGCUUCUCGCCCAAGUCUUGCAGCCAUUAUUAAAGGGAAUAAUUAUUGUGAAUAAGGAGCCUUGUCAAUGACUAGUGAUUACUGUUGAAAUGACUCCAGCAUAGUCCUGCAUGAACC
Molecule: long non-coding RNA, 805 nt
Filed under: Sarcophilus harrisii (Tasmanian devil)
Lineage: Eukaryota; Metazoa; Chordata; Mammalia; Dasyuromorphia; Dasyuridae
Description: lncRNA (ENSSHAG00000026167.1)
Source: RNAcentral